RNAcentral lists this long non-coding RNA (8307 nucleotides) under Coffea arabica (coffee). Its description in RNAcentral is "long non-coding RNA (CARA_LNC003105)". The record is from RNAcentral. Lineage: Eukaryota; Viridiplantae; Streptophyta; Magnoliopsida; Gentianales; Rubiaceae.
UUUUUUUUUUUUUUUUUUUUGUAUUCAUGUUUUUAUUGUUAGUUUAAGAUAAAUAUAUGAUGAAUAUAACAAAAAUUUGCUGGUCUGAAGUUUUACUUAUGAUUUGAUAUUCGAGCCACACUACUAUUGCAGAGAAUAUUUUCUUGGACUGUUCGUGUAAUCAGAUAUCUGCAAUCUUGAGUAGACGUCAAGCAAUUUACCAGAAGUCAAUGAUUAACCAAUUCACUAAAAAAAGUUUGAAAAUAAGCUAAAAUUGGAUAACCACGAAACUUAUUCCUUGUUUGAAUUGCAUUUUUCUGGGCUUUUUAUAGAAAAAUUACUGUAUCGAUUUGAUAUAUGUGAGGUAAAAAUAUGAUUGAAAAAUAUGUCCACAAACAACGUAGCAAGUUUUCUUUGAAAACUAGCCAUGCUUCCACCUUGUAAGAUAAGAUAACUUCUUGCACUCACAAUCAGAAAUUAGACAAUCUGCAAAUUUCAGUCUUUUAUACUACUAACUAUUCUAUUGGGGGAGCUUUCUUACGCGCUCUAGGAUUGAUAUGAGAGGGAGAAAUGGUGCUGAUUUUUACCCAAAGAACUCAGCAAAGUAGUAAAUAAACAUAUCAAAAAUAUUCUUUCUCAUGGGUCACUACCCAUGUCCCUGUGUGUGGAAGAAGAAAGUGAUCUCUCUUUUUGAACUUUGGUUCCUUCUAUUCGUGGCCUCUUCUCCUUCUCUAGUUUCUAUGCUAAGGAAUACGACCACAUCAAGGACCUCAACCACUACUGUAUCAUAUUUAAACCAAAAAACUGAGGUCCGGCAUAUAACAGCAAAGAAUUGAAUAUAGGAUGGUAUAAGAACCAUUAACCAAAAAAAAAAAAGAGUGGGUACUCCUCAAAAAUUCAUGUGGUGCAAUUGGAUUAAUGGGUCAUGGGAUUAAUGUAUAAAAGUUGUUACCUCAGCCCGUUUAAUUAUUAUUCUGAAAAUUUCAAAAAAAAAAAAAAAGAAAAAAAAGAAGAGAGAAUCGAAUGAGAGCUUCCCGAAUAAUCUCCGUAACUAUCAACCGUCUCGUUAUUGCGGAUACUUUCGGCAAUUGUGGUUGUUGCUCACCUUUGAUUCAACAUUUUGACACUUCACAUGGACAUGAACAUGAUCGAUCAAUCAUUUCGUACUACCACACCAACUUCCAAAAUUAACCAUUACAUCACUAAUUAUUGAUAUUGUGACUAUUUUUCUUUCUCUUUGGAUCAAAAUCAGGAAUCCCAUGCACAAUUUUUUUAAAAUAUAUAUAUAGACGCUUUCUGAUUUGUUUCCUGCGUUAGAAAAAUCGCUACUGAAUAUCAAGUAAUUAUGAAAAUGCUUUAGCAUUUAUGACUUUUGUUCCCGUUUUGUGUAGAUAAAUAGGAGUACAAUGACAAAUAGAGAUAUUAAUUGCUAGUCAAGCUCAUUUUUUUUUUAUUUUUCUCUACUUAAGUUGAUAUUAUUAGCAGUAUGCCCUAAAAAAACUUAGAAGUACUUCCUAGUUUGUGUUCCAUACUUCCAUGGUGUUAAAGUAGUCAAAUUUUAAGACAUUUCCUACAUAGGAACUUGGUCCUCAACUAGGCAUGUCAAACCCAAGACCCGGCCAAACCCAAGCCAUUGAUCUAGUGAUUAAAGUUAAGACCCCAGAACGUAAAAGUUGUGGGCUCUAAUUCUCCCGUCUCCUUCUCACUUCUUUAAAAGAAUAUAUAUAUAUAUAUAUAUAUAUAUAUAUAGAGAGAGAGAGAGAGAGAUAGAAGUGUUCGUCCUAAGACCCUCCCCUCACAGUCUUAUGUAGCAAAGGUCCCAUUGAUGUUCCAAGAAGUCACAGAAUUGGCGAAGGACCGGCUGUUGAUGUGUUGUAUUAUUAGAAUAUGAAAUGAUAGUUCUGGAGGAGGCACUUAAUGAGUCACCUUCGCCCGUCAAUUGCCACUCUACUCUUCAUCAUGAAUUCAAGUGGUCUAGGGAUAAGAUCACAUUAAUUGUGGUCCAUUUAACAGUUUUUUAACUUUUUCCCCGCCUCUCAACAUCAAGAGCCAAAAAGAAAGUACAAAAACAAAAAAAGAAGAAAGAAACAAACCUCAUAGAACCCUCAAAAAGCUAAUCAACAGUGCCAUAGAUCCACUUUCAAGAAAGACAUCUUAAGUUUUCUCGUGAACAAAUAUUCCAGAAUUUGAGUGCUACAACAAUUAAUUAGUUUACCCAUAGUGGGCAGUAUUUUUAUUUCCAGUCAUUCUUAUUAAAUUUCAAAUAUUACAGCAAGUGAAAGUUAAAUUUGUGGGAAGAGCGAAAAGAAAGAAAGAACAACAUUAAUGAACAACAAUAUCAAUGAGAUACGAGGGCCUACACGAGAAAGGGUGGGCGAAAACUUGAGUAGUCCCGGUCUAUAUAUAUAGAACCAAUGGUUUGAAAUUUGUCGCACCAUUUCACCAAUUGAAGUAUUGAAAAUGUGGCAAAAUUUGAACCAUUGGAUCUACAAGACCGGGUCUACCCACGUCUUUGCAGUUUGCACAGACGUUGUGGUGCCUACAAGGGAAGAUAUUUUCUUCAGUUGGGAAAUUGACCAUUGAUAUGUGACUUGUUUCCAGAUUUAAUUAGCUUAAUAGUAAAUCUUUGAACCAGAAAAGAACCCCAACAAAAGAAAAAUGAAAAAAGACAUCUUAGGCCAGGAAUAAAAUUUUUUAUGUGAAUUGAGUCACAAUUAACCAGCCACAAAAGGUAUGCUACAAAUUUUUUUUUUUUUUUGUCUACCACUGUCCAAAUUAAACCACAUUUAUGAUGACAGUUACUCAAGAUAUUCAAAAGAUCCGACAUGUCAAAUUAUCAGAACCACUCUCAGAAAGUCCAAGGAUUAAAACCCUUUUAAGUUAGCUUGUAUUACAACCCUUUGGUUGUAAGUUGAAGUUGAGCCCUUCUCUAGGAACAUACACAAUUUCAAACAAAAUAAUGCAUGAAUCAAAAGAAAACCUGAAACUUGUUGCACAGAACAUGCAGGCCUUCUUUCGAUUAGCUGAGCCAAAAAUAGACGACCUUGUGUUCCAACUGGUCUUCAUGAAAUAGAUUAAAGUCCAUCCCAAGACCAAUUCAUUCUAAGAAGAAUGAAUACCCAAAGUUUUGGUUGCCGUAGUCGAUACCAAUGGAAUUGAACCACCGUAUUCUGGAGAGAAAAACAAUAAAAAGGAAAAAGUGAUAUGUGUAUUAUGUUAAAAAAUGCCAUAUAUUAGAAGAAAUACCUUCAAGUGAUAUCACUAACCUAGAUGAAGACUGAUGUUCCAAAUCAGAACUCCAUAUCAAGCAACAAAAUGAGGGUGUAUACAAAUGUGAAAACACCAUCUCCCUCUCCCCUGCAGCACUGGGCCAGGACAUUGACUUCGUUUAGACUGACCUAAUAAUAAUAAAUAUUCCAGAUGUCAUCUUGGUGAACUCGAGAACAGAACAGCACUCUGUACAAGAGGUUCCUUUGGAAGGUCCUCGCAGUCAGGAGGUCCUUGUAGAAGAGCUGCUCUGUGUGGAUUCAUAAGAAGAAGUUCCUGCACGUCCUUAGGAAGCAUGUUAAACACAGCCAGCAAAUCCCCCUUCAAUUUCUGAGCAGCAGCCUCAGAGUCUACAUUAGCAUUAGCACUACCAGACUGCUGUGGCAUAAGAAAGCAAUUUACCAAAGUUAUAUGCCCUGCUGUAGGAUGUUGAAAUUAAGUUAAAUGAACAAAAAUGCCUUAAUGAAGUCUAGCUCAACUAAAUGAAAUCAAGCUUAAUAUACAAAGGGUAAUCAACGUAUAACAAAGCCAAGAAAUUCGGGAGCGUUUAUGCCUUACAACAAGGUCAACAUGCAUGAUAAACAAGCUAUAUCAGCCAGUAAAGACUGUACAGUGGCACAUGGAUCAUCAUAAUUCUCCUUUAGCAAACAAACAAAUGUUUUUUCAUAUAACAGUUUGAAAGAAUAAUUUUUGGAAGUCAAAUAAAUUACACUAGAUUCAAGGCCUUUCUCAAGCUUUAACUUCAUUUAUCAUAAGGAUUGCCAGAAAUCACAAGAACAGUAUAAAAUUAUUACAUGUAAAAUUUCAAGUCUUUUGAACUCUUUAUCUGCAAAUGUGCAAGGACAAAUAGUUAUUAAGGUCCCAAGCAUGAUAGACUGUGCGGCAAACCAAGUCCGGAUUAGGUCUGUACUCUGUUUAGUUUCUUAUGUUUCAUCACUCCCCACAACAAUGAAGAAGAUAGCUUGCGAAAUGGAGAAAGAUAAUCAUAUUCAAUAAGCAAAGCUAUUAGUUACUAUAAUCCUAAUCUCUAAAACUGCAGUACAUAUUUCUAUUGCUUACUAGCACAAGAUUCAAUUUCAAUACAGUUAAAAAUAAUUAGUUAACGACAAGGAGUCUGUUGAAUGCAGAAAUGCACUUACCUGCAGUUCGCCAAGAAGAUGUCUCUCGAUAGCAUUGAAGGAAUCAACAAUUUCCACCUCUGACAAUUGUGAUAUAAAUUUUUUUAUGUCAGUCUUCAUUCUAACUUGCCUCCACAACCUAAGCUGUUCUUGCUCAGCAACAGCACGCUUCCUUCUAAACCAAGGCAAAAAGUUGUGUCCUUUCAUAAACCGCCUACAGAGAUAUGUUAACUGUCUCAAACUCAGCUAGAACCAACAUGUUGAAUGCAUCAGUCAAGAGUAUGUGCUGUACAUAAACUGUAUUUGAGUAUUCAAAGAAAGAAAACAAGGACAAAGAUUUAGCUGGCAAGGAUGACACCAUAAGCAGGUUACAAAAGAUGAAGACAUAAUUACGUUUACCGGUAUAAAUCCAGCCAAUUUGAUCUCAUCCUCUUGAGCAGAAACUUCCCCGGACCUCUUGCUGACAAGCUUGCUAAGAACUCCUCUUUAUCAAAAUGGGGAAGGGGAGGGGGGUCCAAAAAAGGAGAUGAUCCUUCAGAAGGUGUGGUUGCCCUGAAAUAUGGACCAAACGGGGCUAAAAAGUUGGUAGUGAGCUCCAAGAAAUGCCGACGGAGUAUCUCGUUGUUAACAACUGACAUUGAUUCCUCAACCCUUGGUGACAUCCCUGCAUCAAUUAGCCUAUUUAAAAUAGAUGUGUCUGGCUUUGUAAUAGCAGUAUAAGUGGACCAAACCGCUUCUCUGUGUUCUGUCAUGAGGCAAAGAGGGCCAUCCCUCCUCAAUUUCACGGCAUUCAAGAAAUUUGAAGGCGUGAACUUCUUCAAGGAAAGUUGUGGAAGCCCAAAUCCAUCUUGGCCAUCAGGCAUUUUGCCAAUGGAGGUCCGAGAAGACAUAGCAGGACGAUUUGAGUUUGAAGCAGGGCUUCCUACUGAAACAAUGUGAGGAACAUUACGAAGAGCCUUAAGGAAAAAAAGAUUUGUCACCCCCAAAACCAUUGGAGGGAAAGUUGCACCUUCUUGAAGUGAGUUUAACUGGGCAAAUUCUGGAUCAUGAAUCGUAAAAUAAGGCCUGAAAUCAACACUGCAAAGAAGUGGAGCGACCAAACUAACUAAACCAGCAACAGCUUCAGAGCACUGGGGAGGUGUAGGUGCUAUGACAAGAAUUGGUUCACCAAUGAGUAACAAUUCCCAUAGCCUCCAAAGCUGCAUCAAAAGCCCUCUAAAUAUACCAAAAAGGUCUGAAUCAUGGAACAGACCUUGUGGUACAGAUUGAUUAGAAGGAAGAAAAGGAGCUAUAGGUGAAGUUAACUCUUCAAAGAACAUUCUACCAUCUAAAGGUAAACUAUGAGCAGGUGGCAGGUGCACUUUAAGCGUGGCAUUCCCAAUAGGAAGCUCCAUAAGUUGACCAGGUAAAGGAGAAGCCCAAGAUGAUACUGAAGCAGCAAUAUAGUUGAGAGCUUUCUUCCCAAUGUCAAAAUACAAAGGGCCCAUGAUUUGUAACAAAGGUCUAAAUACACUAGAGUAUGGGCUAUGGGAAAGAAUUACAACCGAUUUUUGUUCGCCACCUCGCUUUAACCUUUCAUCAUGUCUCUGCCUAUUAAAUACAAAUCCAUAUAAAUACCUUGGAGCGUUAUUAGACAGCUUUAGAAGCUUAUUAUCUUGUGAUGCAAUCUCGUUAUCUACUUCAACUAUCUCAUGGGAGACUACAUUUGCCGUCUGCAUUUUCUCCUGCCUUCGUAUCCUAAAGAAGAAGAUGCAGUCAUGGAUGCUGGAGCGGUUAUAUUGUUGUGAAACAGAAUCUGGGAAUGAACUAAAUGCAACUUCAAGCUCCUCAUUUUGGGUCAGACACCCUGGUGGAUAACACUCUUCAAUGAGCUGCCCUUGCUCAAGAUCAAAUCUAAUGAUGCAAAAAGCAACUGCCCAUUGCUGAAAAGCUUUUUCAUCGACUUUUGCAUCAGGUUCUGACCUUGCAUGAAAUGACGGUGACCGACUCAUUUCCAGCUACUCCAAGAAUGGUUUUCCAAAUAUCAAACGACCCCUGUGUUCCCCAUUUUCAGAUUAAAGUGAGCAGGGUAUCCCUCAUUUUACCAACCUACACAGGAAAGGACAAAAAUUCAAAUAUAACCAAACAAUCCUAAAAACAGGACUACAUCAAGCUUGAUAUUAAUCUGUCAAAACCAGCUUCAGUAACUUUUUACAAUAAAUUACAUCAGCCAUGAGAGCGAACAGCUACCUCACAAAAAAGUAACCAAAAUGCAAUCUUCCAACAAGUUAGUAUGCAAUGCUUGAAAGUUGAAAUUUACUUAAUGCAAGUGGGACUCUAGAAAAUUAAUAAGUAAAGGAACAAACUUUCUUGAAUAAUGCACAAUAUACAGAAAACCCAGAUAAAUUCAUGAAGUUUCAGCCUCAAUUCAAAGAAAACAAAACAAAGAAAAGGAAAAUGCAACUAGGUACCAAAAUAGCCAACUUAAUUCAACAAGAAAGCUAACAAAAAUCUAGUUCUGACCUGAAAAUUGUCCAAAUUGACGAGCAACUAAUGGUUAAUUACUUCUAUUGAGGAAGUCCCAGAUGCCGAAUAUGCAAGAAACAAUCCGGAUCAACCCAAGAAACCAAAUUUAACACAAAAAAAUAAGCGGGUCUAAAGAGAUUAUUUAGGAGUACUAGUAAGAUCCCUGAAGGUUGCUAAAUAAAUGUAGGUUUUAUAUUUGGGGGGAGUGUGGAGAUAUCUAACCAAAACAUCCAGCUUUUAAGAUUUCCAAGGGAUUCAGUAGAAUAGAAUAGGAAAGGGUCUCUUUCAUUCAGAUGAUGAGUAUGAUUGGGCUUCCCCGAAACUGGUAAUUGAAGAGGGACUUCGGUUGUCUGGAAUUUUUAAUGUUUUUCCUUUUUUGUUAUUUUUCUUUUUCUUUGUCACAGUUUUUUGCUACGUUUAGCUGGGAAUUUAGUGGAUUUACCAGCAGGGGCUCUUUUUUUUUCUUUUUUUUUUUUUCAAAAGCAACCAAUAGAGGCUUUAUAAUUCAGAAUUUUGGAGGCCUUUUCGUUUUUCUUUCUAUUAUGAAAGGGAAAGAUGUGAGUAGGAUCCCCUUGGGUCAAGGGGAAUUUGGUAUGUUUAUUUUGUCUGUUUAUGUUACAAAGGAAGAAAAUUCAUCACAUCAAAUUUAAUUAAGAUUGGAAUUUGCAGUUUAUUCCGACAGAAAAAUUCUUUUUUUGUUUGAUAUUUAAAAUUAAAUCUCUCAAAACAAAAUCUUUUACAUCAUCCAAAAAAGUCUUUUUACGUUUGUACAUGCUUUAAGAAUUUGUUGAAUUCAUUGGAUUUUCUCCAUACUAGAAUGAUGUAGAACAUUUAUUGACUCCUAUCAAGCCAAGGAAAACACUCAAGAUUUCAGACUUAAUCAUUAGAAGAACUCUCAUAAUUGAGAGGCCUACAUGGAAUCCUACAUUUUUCAUAUUAAUAUCCCCUCCAAAAACAAAAAUGUUCACAUGGAGGUCUUAAAAUCCACAGAAUCAUUUGGCGAACGCCGUACGUUUUCUUGGAUGAUGAAUUAGUGAGACGGCAUCAAUCUACAAAUACAAAAGCAGUCCCAGUGCCCGCGGAGCAGAAGAAUGAGUGGCCAGAUAAACAUCUGCCGCUGGAAGAAGCUGAUCUGGAAACCCUUCCAAGUUCCAACAAUGGAGAGUACAUCUUGAAGAGUGAAUCUACAUUUUCAACUCAAUUUGCUUUGACAGGUUAAUAUUUCACAAGGAAGAGAGACCAAUAGCACAAAAAUUUUCUACUUAUAAUUACAACUUUCUUAAACAAAAAUCAGUAUCUACAUAAGAAAGACAAUAAGAGAUCACAGUAUGAAAAAGACGUGACUGCAAUCUAUAGAUGCCCUCUCUCUCGUUUCUGUUAGUUCAGUAAAGCGACACCACGUCCUGCUAAGUUUUGGAGAAAACUGCAGCAUUCAGUU